This 253-nucleotide ribosomal RNA is filed under the name uncultured bacterium. RNAcentral's name for it is "partial 16S ribosomal RNA". It matches the Rfam family "Bacterial small subunit ribosomal RNA", at positions 524 to 776 of the family's 1533-position model. The record is from RNAcentral.
UACGUAGGGAGCAAGCGUUGUCCGGAAUCAUUGGGCGUAAAGCGCGCGUAGGCGGCCUCAUAAGUCCGUUGUGAAAGUCAAAGGCUCAACCUUUGAAAGCCGAUGGAUACUGUGAGGCUAGAGUCCGGAAGAGGCGAGUGGAAUUCCUGGUGUAGCGGUGGAAUGCGCAGAUAUCAGGAGGAACACCAAUAGCGAAGGCAGCUCGCUGGGACGGCACUGACGCUAAGGCGCGAAAGCGUGGGGAGCGAACAGG